Molecule: ribosomal RNA, 292 nt
Filed under: uncultured bacterium
Lineage: Bacteria
Also listed under: 1 other name
Description: partial 16S ribosomal RNA
Source: RNAcentral
GGACUACUAGGGUAUCUAAUCCCGUUUGCUCCCCUGGCUUUCGCACCUCAGCGUCAGAAAUCAGCCAGUGCAUCGCUUUCGCCGCCGGAGUUCCUUCCGAUAUCAACGCAUUUCACCGCUCCACCGGAAAUUCCAUGCACCCCUCUGAUCCUCAAGCACCACAGUAUCGGACGCAGUUCCUCGGUUAGGCCGAGGGAUUUCACAUCCGACUUAUGGCACCGCCUACGUGCGCUUUAUGCCCAGUGAUUCCGAACAACGCUCGCCACCUUCGUCUUACCGCGGCGGCUGGCAC